UACGGGGGGAGCAAGCGUUGUUCGGAUUUACUGGGCGUAAAGGGCGCGUAGGCGGUCAGCACAAGUCAGUUGUGAAAUCUCCGGGCUUAACUCGGAAAGGUCAACUGAUACUGUGCGACUAGAGUGCAGAAGGGGCAACCGGAAUUCUCGGUGUAGCGGUGAAAUGCGUAGAUAUCGAGAGGAACACCUGCGGCGAAGGCGGGUUGCUGGGCUGACACUGACGCUGAUGCGCGAAAGCCAGGGGAGCGAACGGG
RNAcentral lists this ribosomal RNA (254 nucleotides) under uncultured bacterium. RNAcentral's name for it is "partial 16S ribosomal RNA". It matches the Rfam family "Bacterial small subunit ribosomal RNA", at positions 524 to 776 of the family's 1533-position model. The record is from RNAcentral.